GUUUAAUUGUGUCUCCCACUAUUUUAACGAAUUUCAUAGCCCUCAAGUAUGAAAAAUGAGAAACAUCCUUAUAUUUCUAAGUGUGGUUGAGAUCCCUAUUCCUCUCAAACACCUUGUAGAUAGCACAACAAGUAUUCAUGAGUUCAAGAGUAGGUAACUCUUUACUAAUUGUACUUCAUACAAUUCUCAACAUUAUUCUCUCUUACCUCU
This 210-nucleotide long non-coding RNA is filed under the name Elaeis guineensis (African oil palm). RNAcentral describes it as "long non-coding RNA (EGUI_LNC038115)". Lineage: Eukaryota; Viridiplantae; Streptophyta; Magnoliopsida; Arecales; Arecaceae. The record is from RNAcentral.